AGUCGAACGAUGAAGUUCCUUCGGGAAUGGAUUAGUGGCGAACGGGUGAGGAACACGUGAGAAACCUGCCUUUCAUUCUGGGAUAACACCGGGAAACCGGUGCUAAUACCGGAUACUCCGUCUUGGCGGCAUCGCCGAGCCGGGAAAAAAUUUUGAUGAAAGAUGGUCUCGCGGCCUAUCAGCUAGUUGGUGAGGUAAAAGCUCACCAAGGCGACGACGGGUAGCCGGCCUGAGAGGGCGACCGGCCACACUGGGACUGAGACACGGCCCAGACUCCUACGGGAGGCAGCAGUAGGGAAUAUUGGGCAAUGGGCGCAAGCCUGACCCAGCGACGCCGCGUGAGGGAUGAAGGUCUUCGGAUUGUAAACCUCUUUCAGUAGGGAAGAAGCGAAAGUGACGGUACCUAAAGAAGAAGCACCGGCUAACUAUGUGCCAGCAGCCGCGGUAAUACAUAGGGUGCAAGCGUUGUCCGGAAUUAUUGGGCGUAAAGAGCUCGUAGGUCGUUUGUCGCGUCGAUUGUGAAAAUCUGAGGCUCAACCUCAGACCUGCAGUCGAUACGGGCAAACUAGAGUGUGGUAGGGGAGACUGGAAUUCCUGGUGUAGCGGUGGAAUGCGCAGAUAUCAGGAGGAACACCAAUGGCGAAGGCAGGUCUCUGGGCCAUAACUGACACUGAGGAGCGAAAGUGCGGGGAGCGAACAGGAUUAGAUACCCUGGUAGUCCGCACCGUAAACGGUGGGCACUAGUUGUGGGAACCUUCCACGGUUUCCGCGACGCAGCUAACGCAUUAAGUGCCCCGCCUGGGGAGUACGAUCGCAAGAUUAAAACUCAAAGGAAUUGACGGGGCCCCGCACAAGCAGCGGAGCAUGCGGCUUAAUUCGACGCAACGCGAAGAACCUUACCANGGCUUGACAUAUAGCGAAAAGUGGCAGANAUGUCAUGUCCGCA
This 946-nucleotide ribosomal RNA is filed under the name uncultured bacterium. RNAcentral's name for it is "bacterial SSU rRNA". It matches the Rfam family "Bacterial small subunit ribosomal RNA", at positions 60 to 1019 of the family's 1533-position model. The record is from RNAcentral.